AUAUUAAUAAGCGGAGGAAAAGAAACUAACAAGGAUUCCCCGAGUAAUGGCGAACGAAACGGGAAUAGCCCAAAUUUGAAAUCUCUGGCGCAAGUCAGCGAGUUGUAAUUUGGAAAGAAGGUGUUCCUUGCCUCUCUAAUUUUGCAAAAGUCCACUGGAAUGUGGCGGCACUUUUGUGCUUC
RNAcentral lists this ribosomal RNA (182 nucleotides) under Blastocladiopsis parva. Its description in RNAcentral is "partial large subunit ribosomal RNA". It matches the Rfam family "Eukaryotic large subunit ribosomal RNA", at positions 40 to 216 of the family's 3401-position model. Lineage: Eukaryota; Fungi; Blastocladiomycota; Blastocladiomycetes; Blastocladiales; Blastocladiaceae. The record is from RNAcentral.